RNAcentral lists this ribosomal RNA (469 nucleotides) under uncultured bacterium. Its description in RNAcentral is "partial 16S ribosomal RNA". It matches the Rfam family "Bacterial small subunit ribosomal RNA", at positions 28 to 507 of the family's 1533-position model. The record is from RNAcentral.
GACGAACGCUGGCGGCGCGCUUAACACAUGCAAGUCGAACGGAAAGGCCCUGCUUGCAGGGUGCUCGAGUGGUGAACGGGUGAGUAACACGUGGGUGAUCUGCCCCUUACUUUGGGAUAAGCCUGGGAAACUGGGUCUAAUACUGGAUAGGACCAUGCUGUAGGUGGUGUGGUGGAAAGAUUAGUUUCGGUAAGGGAUGAGCUCGCGGCCUAUCAGCUUGUUGGUGGGGUAAUGGCCUACCAAGGCGUCGACGGGUAGCCGGCCUGAGAGGGUGGACGGCCACAUUGGGACUGAGAUACGGCCCAGACUCCUACGGGAGGCAGCAGUGGGGAAUAUUGCACAAUGGGCGCAAGCCUGAUGCAGCGACGCCGCGUGGGGGAUGACGGCCUUCGGGUUGUAAACUCCUUUCAGCCAUGACGAAGCCCUUGUGGUGACGGUAGUGGUAGAAGAAGCACCGGCUAACUACGUG